AUACGGAGGAUGCGAGCGUUAUCCGGAUUUAUUGGGUUUAAAGGGAGCGUAGGUGGGAUAUUAAGUCAGCUGUGAAAGUUUGGGGCUCAACCUUAAAAUUGCAGUUGAUACUGGUUUCCUUGAGUACGGUAUAGGUGGGCGGAAUUCGUGGUGUAGCGGUGAAAUGCUUAGAUAUCACGAAGAACUCCGAUCGCGAAGGCAGCUCACCGGGCCGGAACUGACACUGAUGCUCGAAAGUGCGGGUAUCAAACAGGAUUAGAUACCCUGGUAGUCCGCACAGUAAACGAUGAAUACUCGCUGUUUGCGAUACACUGUAAGCGGCCAAGCGAAAGCGUUAAGUAAUCCACCUGGGGAGUACGUUCGCAAGAAUGAAACUCAAAUGAAUUGACGGGG
Molecule: ribosomal RNA, 393 nt
Filed under: uncultured bacterium
Lineage: Bacteria
Description: partial 16S ribosomal RNA
Rfam family: Bacterial small subunit ribosomal RNA
Source: RNAcentral